Molecule: non-coding RNA, 45 nt
Filed under: Echinostoma caproni
Lineage: Eukaryota; Metazoa; Platyhelminthes; Trematoda; Plagiorchiida; Echinostomatidae
Source: RNAcentral
GCACUGCUGACGUGACUCAACUAGGUCGAAACAGCUGUCCAGUGC